GUGGCUCAAAGAGUAGGGCGCCAGCCCCAUAUGCUGGAGGUGGUGGGUUCAAACCCAUC
Non-coding RNA from Otolemur garnettii (small-eared galago), 59 nucleotides. Lineage: Eukaryota; Metazoa; Chordata; Mammalia; Primates; Galagidae. The record is from Rfam.